AACGAACGCUGGCGGCAGGCCUAACACAUGCAAGUCGAGCGGACCCUUCGGGGUUAGCGGCGGACGGGUGAGUAACGCGUGGGAAUAUGCCCUUCUCUACGGGAUAGUCCUGGGAAACUGGGGGUAAUACCGUAUACGCCCUUUGGGGGAAAGAUUUAUCGGGGAAGGAUUAGCCCGCGUUGGAUUAGGUAGUUGGUGGGGUAAUGGCCUACCAAGCCGACGAUCCAUAGCUGGUUUGAGAGGAUGAUCAGCCACACUGGGACUGAGACACGGCCCAGACUCCUACGGGAGGCAGCAGUGGGGAAUCUUAGACAAUGGGGGCAACCCUGAUCUAGCCAUGCCGCGUGAGUGAUGAAGGCCUUAGGGUUGUAAAGCUCUUUCAGCUGGGAAGAUAAUGACGGUACCAGCAGAAGAAGCCCCGGCUAACUCCGUG
RNAcentral lists this ribosomal RNA (433 nucleotides) under uncultured bacterium. Its description in RNAcentral is "partial 16S ribosomal RNA". It matches the Rfam family "Bacterial small subunit ribosomal RNA", at positions 29 to 507 of the family's 1533-position model. The record is from RNAcentral.